GGUCGGGAUUCCCGGCGCAGACCGGGAAUCCCCCUAGCAGACCGAAGCUCUAGACAGGACUCGGCAUGAGUGAGACUCGAACCAUCGCCCGUCUGUACUUCAAGGUGCCAGGGGCCGGCGACAAGUGCUCUGCGCCACCUGCCAGGCCGUGGAAUUAGUGCAAAUGUGUUUGUUUUCAUCUUAAACCAUUGUCAGUGACGUCAUUCUACGCGACUACCACAGGUGAAGGUGCUGCCCACCCAUGAUGCCAGCAAGGUGCGUGCAAGUGGAUCCGGCCUUAAAACCACUGGAGUGCCCAGCUCUCUGCCAGUGAAGUUCAACAUUGAUGGCAAAGAUGCAGGUGAGGGACUGCUGGCAGUGCAGAUCACUGUGAGCGCAUGUGAUCUGCUAUUCCUCUUUGAAUAGUACGCUGGUUGCCCCCGGAGUUCGAGUCUCCGGGAGGAAAUCCUGGUGGUUUGAGGCCCCAGGCUUGUGUUGGGUACGGUCCAUCACAAGGACAUUGGCUCGAGCGCGCUGUUGGGGAGAAGCCGGCCCAGACCUGUGUUCGAUCCAAGUACGCCACAGGGACAGCGGUUCGGGUACGCUGUCGGAGUCCAUUUCUGCAUACUAUAGUGCACGGAGUGGUGGUGUUCGUUCCUUGGUCCGUAGAAGGCAAGGGCCUCACGGGGGACGCCUCGUGUAGUAAAAUGGGAUCUAGAUCCAGUAGAGCGGCAGACGUUUCACCAGGCGGCCAGGGACAAAACUCAAUGUGUGACUGUAUGGUAAGAACUGAGUAAAUGUGUGGUGUGUAAGAUUGCAGAGAAUGGUUGUGUGGGAAAAGUUGAUGUGUGUGUAAAAAAAAAAAAAAAAAAAACAGUGAAAAUUGGGUUCAAAAUGUUGAAAAUGGGGAACAAAAAACAAGAAAAGAAAAAAGAGGAGUGUAAAAGUCGUCUCGUCUCCAACUAGCGGAAGGUGGUGGUCCUGCAGACCACCAGCUCCCCUAGUGUGGACACACAAAAAAUUUCUUUUUAGCAGAA
Molecule: long non-coding RNA, 1016 nt
Organism: Oreochromis niloticus (Nile tilapia)
Lineage: Eukaryota; Metazoa; Chordata; Actinopteri; Cichliformes; Cichlidae
Exons: 3
Source: RefSeq, a predicted model, not a curated record